Molecule: ribosomal RNA, 219 nt
Filed under: uncultured bacterium
Lineage: Bacteria
Description: partial 16S ribosomal RNA
Rfam family: Bacterial small subunit ribosomal RNA
Source: RNAcentral
UAAUGUAUGGGGAUCUGCCCGAUAGAGGGGGAUAACUACUGGAAACGGUGGCUAAUACCGCAUAAUGUCUACGGACCAAAGCAGGGGCUCUUCGGACCUUGCACUAUCGGAUGAACCCAUAUGGGAUUAGCUAGUAGGUGGGUAAAGGCUCACCUAGGCGACGAUCUCUAGCUGGUCUGAGAGGAUGAUCAGCCACACUGGGACUGAGACACGGCCCAG